RNAcentral lists this ribosomal RNA (853 nucleotides) under Balanodytes sp. ACRO_sp_119. Its description in RNAcentral is "SSU rRNA". It matches the Rfam family "Eukaryotic small subunit ribosomal RNA", at positions 38 to 865 of the family's 1831-position model. Lineage: Eukaryota; Metazoa; Arthropoda; Thecostraca; Lithoglyptida; Lithoglyptidae. The record is from RNAcentral.
CAAAGAUUAAGCCAUGCAUGUCUAAGUACAGGCCUAACUAAGGCGAGACCGCGAAUGGCUCAUUAAAUCAGUUAUGGUUCCUUAGAUCGUACCUUUCUACUUGGAUAACUGUGGUAAUUCUAGAGCUAAUACAUGCACUCCAGCUCCGACUUGUGGCGUCGUUUCGGCGGCGUUGCGGGGAAGAGCGCUUUUAUUAGAUCAAAACCAAUCGACCUUUCGAGGUCGUGCCUCUUGGUGACUCUGAAUAACUUUGUGCGGAUCGCACGGUCACGUACCGGCGACGCAUCUUUCAAAUGUCUGCCUUAUCAGCUUUCGAUGGUAAUUUCUAUGAUUACCAUGGCAAUAACGGGUAACGGGGAAUCAGGGUUCGAUUCCGGAGAGGGAGCCUGAGAAACGGCUACCACAUCUAAGGAAGGCAGCAGGCACGCAAAUUACCCACUCCCGGCACGGGGAGGUAGUGACGAAAAAUAACAAGACGGGACUCUACCGAGGCCUCGCCAUUGGAAUGAGUACAAUUUAAAUCCUUUAACGAGGAUCUAUUGGAGGGCAAGUCUGGUGCCAGCAGCCGCGGUAAUUCCAGCUCCAAUAGCGUAUAUUAAAGUUGUUGCGGUUAAAAAGCUCGUAGUUGGAUCUCAGUGUUAGACGAUCGGUCCGCCGCCCGGCGCGACUGAUCGUACUGCACCGUCCGCCGUUGCAGUCUCCAGUGCUCUUCAUUGAGUGUUGGACGAUUGCCGGUACGUUUACUUUGAAAAAAUUAGAGUGCUUCAAGCAGGCGUUUCCGCCUGAAUAUCUGUGCAUGGAAUAAUGGAAUAGGACCUCGGUUCUAUUUUGUUGGUUUUCGGGACUCGAGGUA